This 117-nucleotide ribosomal RNA is filed under the name Pteropus alecto (black flying fox). Lineage: Eukaryota; Metazoa; Chordata; Mammalia; Chiroptera; Pteropodidae. The record is from RNAcentral.
GUCUAUGGCCAUGCUACCCUGAACAUGCUCGAUCUCGUCUGAUCUCAGAAGCUAAGCAGGGUCGGGCCUGGUUAGUACUUGGAUGGAGCCACCUUGGAAUGCUAGGUGCAAUAGUCG